Molecule: unclassified non-coding RNA, 332 nt
Filed under: soil metagenome
Description: partial contains 5.8S ribosomal RNA, internal transcribed spacer 2, and large subunit ribosomal RNA
Rfam family: 5.8S ribosomal RNA (bases 1-120)
Source: RNAcentral
GAUGAAGAACGUAGCGAAAUGCGAUAAGUAGUGUGAAUUGCAGAAUUCAGUGAAUCAUCGAAUCUUUGAACGCACAUUGCGCCCUUUGGUAUUCCUUAGGGCAUGCCUGUUCGAGCGUCAUUUAAACCUUCAAGCUCAGCUUGGUGUUGGGUGACUGUCCGCUUCACCGCGGACUCGCCUCAAAAUUAUUGGCGGCCGGUACAUUGGCUUCGAGCGCAGCAGAAACGCGAACUCGGGCCCGUCGUAUUGGCUCCCAGAAGCUAUCUUCACAAUUUUGACCUCGGAUCAGGUAGGGAUACUCGCUGAACUUAAGCAUAUCAAUAAGCGGAGGA